This 66-nucleotide transfer RNA is filed under the name marine eukaryotic metagenome. It matches the Rfam family "tRNA". Rfam says of the family: Transfer RNA (tRNA) molecules are approximately 80 nucleotides in length. The record is from RNAcentral.
GCGAUAGCUCAAUUGGUAGAGCAGCGGUCUCCAAAACCGCAGGUUGGGGGUUCGACUCCCUCUCGC